GGGUCGGUACCAAAGUGGUCAACUGGGGCAGACUGUAAAUCUGCUGGCUUUCGCCUUCGGUGGUUCGAGUCCACCCCGGCCCACCA
This 86-nucleotide transfer RNA is filed under the name Candidatus Falkowiibacteriota bacterium. RNAcentral describes it as "tRNA-Tyr". It matches the Rfam family "tRNA". Rfam says of the family: Transfer RNA (tRNA) molecules are approximately 80 nucleotides in length. Their secondary structure includes four short double-helical elements and three loops (D, anti-codon, and T loops). Lineage: Bacteria; Candidatus Falkowiibacteriota. The record is from RNAcentral.